This 336-nucleotide long non-coding RNA is filed under the name Mytilus galloprovincialis (Mediterranean mussel). The record is from RNAcentral. Lineage: Eukaryota; Metazoa; Mollusca; Bivalvia; Mytilida; Mytilidae.
UGCUGCAGUGUACACAUUGGUGUUUGAGUUUACAAAACUUUGCUGUGCAUUCUCAUGAUUUACAGAAGGCCCAGCAAUAGCCAUUUGGGAAUUGAUACUGAUGCUGGGCCUUUCUUUGAAAAGAAUUUGGGCCUGAGUUUGAGGUUUUUGCAUACGAUUUCUUAUUUUGACCUGAAAAUUCAGAUUGUCUGUCAUAUAAAGCUGCAGAUCGCCAAAGUUCAUCAUUGAUUUGAUCCCAUCGUAACCCUAAACUUUUCCUUAUCUUUCUAAAUUUCUCGUCAUAUCAUUUAGCGGCUUGGAAACCCAAGGACUUGCAUAAUGACCGUACAUUAAAAC